GGGUAUAUGAUGAAAUUUGGUAGACAUGGUUGUUUUAGACACAAUUGCUUAUUUAGUAUGCAGGUUCGAAUCCUGCUAUACCUA
Molecule: non-coding RNA, 84 nt
Organism: Monosiga brevicollis
Lineage: Eukaryota; Choanoflagellata; Craspedida; Salpingoecidae
Source: Rfam